UGGGGAAUAUUGGACAAUGGGCGAAAGCCUGAUCCAGCCAUGCCGCGGGUGUGAAGAAGGUCUUCGGAUUGUAAAGCACUUUAAGUUGGGAGGAAGGGCAGUAAGCGAAUACCUUGCUGUUUUGACGUUACCGACAGAAUAAGCACCGGCUAACUCUGUGCCAGCAGCCGCGGUAAUACAGAGGGUGCAAGCGUUAAUCGGAAUUACUGGGCGUAAAGCGCGCGUAGGGGGUUCGUUAAGUUGAAUGUGAAAGCCCCGGGCUCAACCUGGGAACUGCAUCCAAAACUGGCGAGCUAGAGUAGGGCAGAGGGUGGUGGAAUUUCCUGUGUAGCGGUGAAAUGCGUAGAUAUAGGAAGGAACACCAGUGGCGAAGGCGACCACCUGGGCUCAUACUGACACUGAGGUGCGAAAGCGUGGGGAGCAAACAGG
RNAcentral lists this ribosomal RNA (429 nucleotides) under Pseudomonadota bacterium. Its description in RNAcentral is "Proteobacteria bacterium partial 16S ribosomal RNA". It matches the Rfam family "Bacterial small subunit ribosomal RNA", at positions 355 to 776 of the family's 1533-position model. Lineage: Bacteria; Pseudomonadati; Pseudomonadota. The record is from RNAcentral.